This 266-nucleotide signal recognition particle RNA is filed under the name Peptococcaceae bacterium. RNAcentral describes it as "signal recognition particle sRNA large type". It matches the Rfam family "Bacterial large signal recognition particle RNA". Rfam says of the family: The signal recognition particle (SRP) is a universally conserved ribonucleoprotein involved in the co-translational targeting of proteins to membranes. Archaeal SRP consists of a 7S RNA and homologues of the eukaryotic SRP19 and SRP54 proteins. The record is from RNAcentral. Lineage: Bacteria; Bacillati; Bacillota; Clostridia; Eubacteriales; Peptococcaceae.
CCAUGCUACAUGGGGAGGUAGCGGUUCCCUGUUACUCGCAGUCCGCUAUAGCGAGAUGGAAUUCCUGCGGGAGGGCUGCGUGUGUGGAGCAGUAUUACGUCAUUCUAUGCUGAGGUUUUGGUCCCACGCAACGGAGUACUCCGAACCGUGUCAGGUCUUGACGGAAGCAGCACUAAGGUUUACGCUUCGUGUGCCGUGGGUUCGCCUGAACUGAGUAGAGGGCUUGAUGAACGUCCGGACGCGUAAUCUCGAUCAAAGGUGCAUGG